GUAGGGGUGGCAGGUAGCCUAGUGGUUAGAGUGUAGGGGUGGCAGGUAGCCUAGUGGUUAGAGUGUAGGGGCGGCAGGUAGCCUAGUGGUUAGAGUGUAGGGGCGGCAGGUAGCCUAGUGGUUAGAGUGUAGGGGCGGCAGGUAGCCUAGUGGUUAGAGUGUAGGGGCGGCAGGUAGCCUAGUGGUUAGAGUGUAGGGGUGGCAGGUAGCCUAGUGGUUAGAGUGUAGGGGCGGCAGGUAGCCUAGUGGUUAGAGUGUAGGGGCGGCAGGUAGCCUAGUGGUUAGAGUGUA
Molecule: long non-coding RNA, 291 nt
Organism: Oncorhynchus keta (chum salmon)
Lineage: Eukaryota; Metazoa; Chordata; Actinopteri; Salmoniformes; Salmonidae
Exons: 3
Source: RefSeq, a predicted model, not a curated record